This 219-nucleotide long non-coding RNA is filed under the name Capsella rubella. RNAcentral describes it as "long non-coding RNA (CRUB_LNC001130)". The record is from RNAcentral. Lineage: Eukaryota; Viridiplantae; Streptophyta; Magnoliopsida; Brassicales; Brassicaceae.
AACUCCGGAAGCUACAUUACAUAUAGUUUUACAAUAAUCAACUUCAAAUGCAUAGCAAGACAAAUAAGAAUAUACUCUGUUUAACCAAGGUAGGUGCGAACGAACAAAAUAGCCAAGAGACAAGAGAGUCAUUUUUUCGUUGUCGAUGAUUUCAAAUUUUGUUUAACAAAGAUCACAUUCUUAUAUAUAUUAUAUAUGAAUAUAGAAAUAUGCACUAAU